GCGCCGCCGCCGCUGGGUGUUUCAGAAAAUGCCUCCAAUAAGGCCCUUCUUGAUUCCCGUUCGAUGUGAUUUUUCCACCGUUGUGACCAUCGUUUCUUUCUCUAUAGGUUGACCGAAGCAAAACACCGAACCACAACAUAAGUCAGAGGAGACGCCGCACUAGAGAGCCCCACCGCCGGUGAGUUUCGAUUUUCUGCAUUUUUUUGGCCCACCGAGGGCCCUAUGUGUGUUUUCUCGCAAGUGCCGGUUCAAGUUCGGUUGAAUUCAGCCCAAAACGGUCAAAAAUAGCCAACCCGAGGUGGAUCGCUGCUGCGAGCGGCGGCGCCAUCAUCGGAGUACGGCGAAGUUGCCGUGUCAGAAUUCUGAAAUUGGCUGAAUAGGCCAAUUUUUGGGUUAUUUGGGACACUUGUAGGUACUGUAAG
This 422-nucleotide long non-coding RNA is filed under the name Carica papaya (papaya). RNAcentral's name for it is "long non-coding RNA (CPAP_LNC005573)". The record is from RNAcentral. Lineage: Eukaryota; Viridiplantae; Streptophyta; Magnoliopsida; Brassicales; Caricaceae.